ACUCGAAAUACGAAAUAACAAAUACAUAUGUUUAAGAAAAUAUAUAAAGAUAGAUAUCUUUAGAAGGAUGUGUACUGAUAAAGACCCCGAGUCUUGUGUCCGAAGUUUUUCAUUUUGGUGUAUAGGUUUUGGAGCUGCUUGUUUAGGCCUUAAUGUGCUAAUAUUAGUAUGUAUUUUGCGCGGUGCACAGCCAAAUUUUUUCGAUACGCCUGUUGUUUUGAUAGUACAAUUCAUUUUCGGUGUAUUGGUUGCCAUAGUCAGUAUCAUCGCUGGAAUUCUAUUGCUACUAGGCAUAAAUCGGGGCAAUCGGAAACUUUUUAGAAUUGGAAAAAUAAUGAGCUACCCAGCGCCUAUAAUGUAUUUCUACUUCAUCUUCCCUAUAGUUAUUCAAGUUAUUGGGGUGCUUAAUCUCAGCGAGUACAGGGAUGAGCGUUGGCCUUAAACUAUUGAAAAACAAUGGGAUUACAAGAAGCACUCCUGAUGAUACUUGUAUAUAGAAAUUGAUUGGUAACUGUGUCAGAGCUUCUUGGAACGCUAAUAUCUAUUUGUACAACUAAUGUAUACAAUAUAAUAUGGUGUGAUUAAUUAUACAAAUGGAUAUUAGAGCAAAACUAAUUCAAUAACUUGAAAACAACUUUUUAUAA
Molecule: long non-coding RNA, 644 nt
Organism: Drosophila serrata
Lineage: Eukaryota; Metazoa; Arthropoda; Insecta; Diptera; Drosophilidae
Source: RefSeq, a predicted model, not a curated record